RNAcentral lists this small RNA (122 nucleotides) under Paraburkholderia caribensis. RNAcentral's name for it is "RT-12". It matches the Rfam family "RT-12 RNA". From Rfam's summary of the family: Proteobacteria. Nearby to self-splicing intron genes The record is from RNAcentral. Lineage: Bacteria; Pseudomonadati; Pseudomonadota; Betaproteobacteria; Burkholderiales; Burkholderiaceae.
UAAUAUUUAGCGGCCAAAGCCCAGGCUUUUGUCUGGGUGAGAUAAUGUGAAGAACAUUGCUGUAUAUCCGGGGAGGCGCUUUAUUGGAUUGCCGCCAACCAUCGUCUCCCCGGUUUGCUAGG